Molecule: ribosomal RNA, 527 nt
Filed under: Escherichia coli
Lineage: Bacteria; Pseudomonadati; Pseudomonadota; Gammaproteobacteria; Enterobacterales; Enterobacteriaceae
Description: partial 23S ribosomal RNA
Rfam family: Bacterial large subunit ribosomal RNA
Source: RNAcentral
CCGUACACAAAAAUGCACAUGCUGUGAGCUCGAUGAGUAGGGCGGGACACGUGGUAUCCUGUCUGAAUAUGGGGGGACCAUCCUCCAAGGCUAAAUACUCCUGACUGACCGAUAGUGAACCAGUACCGUGAGGGAAAGGCGAAAAGAACCCCGGCGAGGGGAGUGAAAAAGAACCUGAAACCGUGUACGUACAAGCAGUGGGAGCACGCUUAGGCGUGUGACUGCGUACCUUUUGUAUAAUGGGUCAGCGACUUAUAUUCUGUAGCAAGGUUAACCGAAUAGGGGAGCCGAAGGGAAACCGAGUCUUAACUGGGCGUUAAGUUGCAGGGUAUAGACCCGAAACCCGGUGAUCUAGCCAUGGGCAGGUUGAAGGUUGGGUAACACUAACUGGAGGACCGAACCGACUAAUGUUGAAAAAUUAGCGGAUGACUUGUGGCUGGGGGUGAAAGGCCAAUCAAACCGGGAGAUAGCUGGUUCUCCCCGAAAGCUAUUUAGGUAGCGCCUCGUGAAUUCAUCUCCGGGGGUAG